RNAcentral lists this ribosomal RNA (465 nucleotides) under uncultured bacterium. RNAcentral's name for it is "partial 16S ribosomal RNA". It matches the Rfam family "Bacterial small subunit ribosomal RNA", at positions 28 to 507 of the family's 1533-position model. The record is from RNAcentral.
GAUGAACGCUGGCGGCGUGCUUAACACAUGCCAGUCGAACGGAAAGGCUCCUGCUUGCAGGGGUACUCGAGUGGCGAACGGGUGAGUAACACGUGGGUGAUCUGCCCUGCACUUCGGGAUAAGCCUGGGAAACUGGGUCUAAUACCGGAUAGGACCACAUUUUGGAUGGUGUGGUGGAAAGUUUUUCGGUGUGGGAUGAGCUCGCGGCCUAUCGGCUUGUUGGUGGGGUAAUGGCCUACCAAGGCGUCGACGGGUAGCCGGCCUGAGAGGGUGUACGGCCACAUUGGGACUGAGAUACGGCCCAGACUCCUACGGGAGGCAGCAGUGGGGAAUAUUGCACAAUGGGCGCAAGCCUGAUGCAGCGACGCCGCGUGGGGGAUGACGGCCUUCGGGUUGUAAACUCCUUUCGCUAGGGACGAAGCGCAAGUGACGGUACCUUGAGAAGAAGCACCGGCUAACUACGUG